AUUGCCAGAUUUGGUGAAAAAAAGAAACAGAUUUUCAGCAUCAAAGGACAUUUGCUCGCUCCGGAGAUUGAAUAUUCUGCCUGCACUUGAUUCACUGAAGAAAAUGAAAUGCAAAAUAAGCAGGGAGAGAAGAGCUAUAGUGCCAGGAGCUGCUUCCCGGGGAAACUACUGAACAUCUGAGGAGCUUCUGGAUGGAGGACACCAGGAUCCACACCACAGCCUGUGCCAGAGGGCAUGGCUGGGGG
Manacus vitellinus (golden-collared manakin) is the source of this 245-nucleotide long non-coding RNA. RefSeq lists it as uncharacterized. The transcript has 3 exons. The record is from RefSeq and is a predicted model, not a curated record. Lineage: Eukaryota; Metazoa; Chordata; Aves; Passeriformes; Pipridae.